CGACGCCAGACUCGCCACUUUGGACUGAGAGCAACCAAGUGCUGAAGAUUACAGUGGGUGAGAUAGUAUGUGUGGAGGGAGAGAGCCAGCCAGUGUUUCAGUUGGCAGGGUUUUGGCACUGAAAGGUGAAAACUGCAGGAAACUGAAGAGCUAUAACUAGUCCAGUAGCUGUCCAGACAUGAAAUCUACCAAGACCUCUGCAACCCACAUUCAAUGCAACUGUUAGUCCUUCUCAGUCACAUUGCAUCCCCAUUAAUAAUGUGGCCAGUGGAUCUGUACAAGUUUGAGCAACAGAAAGAAUGUCCUUAUCUAUAAAGGCCGAUUUUUGAAUCGCCAUGCGGGGGCACUCUACAAACAACAGCAAUGUACAAUUACAAAUGCUUGCAUAGCAGAAGGAAAAAGAAUCUGAAAUGUAACAACGUUAUUGCACAGAUGUAUAAUGUUUAAGUCACUGAAAAGCACCCAACUCAAUGUAGGGGUAGUAAGAACUGCCGAUGCUGGAGUCAGAGAUAACACAGUGUGGAGCUGAUGGAA
Long non-coding RNA from Stegostoma tigrinum, 534 nucleotides. RefSeq lists it as uncharacterized. NCBI's taxonomy places the organism in Eukaryota, Metazoa, Chordata, Chondrichthyes, Orectolobiformes, Stegostomatidae. The record is from RefSeq and is a predicted model, not a curated record. The transcript has 3 exons.